UACGGAGGGAGCUAGCGUUGUUCGGAAUUACUGGGCGUAAAGCGUACGUAGGCGGUUAAUUCAAGUCAGAGGUGAAAGCCCGGGGCUCAACCCCGGAACGGCCUUUGAAACUAGAUAGCUAGAAUCUUGGAGAGGUCAGUGGAAUUCCGAGUGUAGAGGUGAAAUUCGUAGAUAUUCGGAAGAACACCAGUGGCGAAGGCGACUGACUGGACAAGUAUUGACGCUGAGGUACGAAAGCGUGGGGAGCAAACAGGG
RNAcentral lists this ribosomal RNA (255 nucleotides) under uncultured bacterium. Its description in RNAcentral is "partial 16S ribosomal RNA". It matches the Rfam family "Bacterial small subunit ribosomal RNA", at positions 524 to 777 of the family's 1533-position model. The record is from RNAcentral.